ACAUGCAAGUCGAGCGGACAGAGGGGAGCUUGCUCCCUGAUGUUAGCGGCGGACGGGUGAGUAACACGUGGGUAACCUGCCUGUAAGACUGGGAUAACUCCGGGAAACCGGGGCUAAUACCGGAUGGUUGUUUGAACCGCAUGGUUCAGACAUAAAAGGUGGCUUCGGCUACCACUUACAGAUGGACCCGCGGCGCAUUAGCUAGUUGGUGAGGUAACGGCUCACCAAGGCGACGAUGCGUAGCCGACCUGAGAGGGUGAUCGGCCACACUGGGACUGAGACACGGCCCAGACUCCUACGGGAGGCAGCAGUAGGGAAUCUUCCGCAAUGGACGAAAGUCUGACGGAGCAACGCCCCGUGAGUGAUGAAGGUUUUCGGAUCGUAAAGCUCUGUUGUUAGGGAAGAACAAGUGCCGUUCAAAUAGGGCGGCACCUUGACGGUACCUAACCAGAAAGCCACGGCUAACUACGUGCCAGCAGCCGCGGUAAUACGUAGGUGGCAAGCGUUGUCCGGAAUUAUUGGGCGUAAAGGGCUCGCAGGCGGUUUCUUAAGUCUGAUGUGAAAGCCCCCGGCUCAACCGGGGAGGGUCAUUGGAAACUGGGGAACUUGAGUGCAGAAGAGGAGAGUGGAAUUCCACGUGUAGCGGUGAAAUGCGUAGAGAUGUGGAGGAACACCAGUGGCGAAGGCGACUCUCUGGUCUGUAACUGACGCUGAGGAGCGGAAGCGUGGGGAGCCACAACGAAUAAAUACC
This 751-nucleotide ribosomal RNA is filed under the name Bacillus amyloliquefaciens. Its description in RNAcentral is "bacterial SSU rRNA". It matches the Rfam family "Bacterial small subunit ribosomal RNA", at positions 53 to 786 of the family's 1533-position model. Lineage: Bacteria; Bacillati; Bacillota; Bacilli; Caryophanales; Bacillaceae. The record is from RNAcentral.